AGAUAGCCAUGCAUGUCUAGUAUAGCAAUCUAUACUGUGAAACUGCGAAUGGCUCAUUAAAUCAGUUAUCGUUUAUUUGAUAGUACCUUACUACUUGGAUAACCGUGGUAAUUCUAGAGCUAAUACAUGCUAAAAACCCCGACUUCGGAAGGGGUGUAUUUAUUAGAUAAAAAACCAAUGCCCUUCGGGGCUCCUUGGUGAUUCAUGAUAACUUAACGAAUCGCAUGGCCUUGCGCCGGCGAUGGUUCAUUCAAAUUUCUGCCCUAUCAACUUUCGAUGGUAGGAUAGUGGCCUACCAUGGUAUCAACGGGUAACGGGGAAUUAGGGUUCUAUUCCGGAGAGGGAGCCUGAGAAACGGCUACCACAUCCAAGGAAGGCAGCAGGCGCGCAAAUUACCCAAUCCCGACACGGGGAGGUAGUGACAAUAAAUACUGAUACAGGGCUCUUUUGGGUCUUGUAAUUGGAAUGAGUACAAUUUAAAUACCUUAACGAGGAACAAUUGGAGGGCAAGUCUGGUGCCAGCAGCCGCGGUAAUUCCAGCUCCAAUAGCGUAUAUUAAAGUUGUUGCAGUUAAAAAGCUCGUAGUUGAACCUUGGGCCUGGCUGGCCGGUCCGCCUCACCGCGUGUACUGGUCCGGCCGGGCCUUUCCUUCUGGGGAUCCUCAUGCCCUUCACUGGGUGUGCUGGGGAACCAGGACUUUUACUUUGAAAAAAUUAGAGUGUUCAAAGCAGGCCUUUGCUCGAAUACAUUAGCAUGGAAUAAUAGAAUAGGACGUGCGGUCCUAUUUUGUUGGUUUCUAGGACCGCCGUAAUGAUUAAUAGGGAUAGUCGGGGGCAUCAGUAUUCAAUUGUCAGAGGUGAAAUUCUUGGAUUUAUUGAAGACUAACUACUGCGAAAGCAUUUGCCAAGGAUGUUUUCAUUAAUCAGUGAACGAAAGUUAGGGGAUCGAAGACGAUCAGAUACCGUCGUAGUCUUAACCGUAAACUAUGCCGACUAGGGAUCGGGCGAUGUUAUUCUUUUGACUCGCUCGGCACCUUACGAGAAAUCAAAGUCUUUGGGUCUGGGGGGAGUAUGGUCGCAGGUGAUAG
RNAcentral lists this ribosomal RNA (1087 nucleotides) under Neofusicoccum luteum. RNAcentral's name for it is "SSU rRNA". It matches the Rfam family "Eukaryotic small subunit ribosomal RNA", at positions 41 to 1142 of the family's 1831-position model. The record is from RNAcentral. Lineage: Eukaryota; Fungi; Ascomycota; Dothideomycetes; Botryosphaeriales; Botryosphaeriaceae.